Juglans microcarpa x Juglans regia is the source of this 334-nucleotide long non-coding RNA. RefSeq lists it as uncharacterized. NCBI's taxonomy places the organism in Eukaryota, Viridiplantae, Streptophyta, Magnoliopsida, Fagales, Juglandaceae. The record is from RefSeq and is a predicted model, not a curated record. The transcript has 3 exons.
UAAUUUGGUGGAAUUUAUUGCAUUCAUGAUUUAUACACUGCUCUGAAGUAUUGUGGCUUGUUGAUGAUUUCUUGUUAAACAGAUACAAAGCUUGGAGGAAAGUGCUGAAUCAUUAAAGGAGCGAAGUUUAAAGUUUUACAAAGGGUGCCGAAAAUACACUGAAGGACUUGGGGAGGAAUAUGAUGGGGAUAUUGCUUUUGUGGGUGCACUAGAAACUUUUGGUGGAGGGCAUGAUGAUCCCAUUAGUUUGGCUUUUGGAGGCCCUGUUAUGACCAAAUUUACCAUUGCGCUGAGAGAAAUUGGGACUUACAAAGAACUACAUCGAUCCCAGGAG